AUAGUAUUGCUCAAGUCUUCUAUAUCCAGGUUGAUUUUUUUUAUAUAGUUGUUUUAGUAAUUACUGAGAAGUUGGCAUUGAAAUAUCAAACCAUAAUUACUAAGUUGUCUAUGUAUCCUUUCAACCCUGUCAGUCUUUUCUUCAUGUAUUAUGAGACACUUAUGCUAGGAUGCAUAUUUAUUUAUAAAUAUAUGUAUGGACUUUUUUUUUUUCAGUGAUUUUUUACUUUUUCCAUUAUAGCUGUUAUCCUCCAUCAUGCUGCAUCAUAAAUGACUGGACACUUUUAUUAUUACUAAAUUUCUUUCUUUGUGUUCAGUAAUAUUUCUUAAAUUUUAUUAUGUUUGACAUCAUUAAUACCUGCUAUCAUCUUAUGAUCACUAUAUCGCAUGUAUAUUUUCAUCCACCCUUAAAUGUACUUCUUGUAGAUGGCAUGCAUUGAAUCUUUCUUUUUCAUUUGCAUUUUUAUGGAUGAUUAGCCAAAACUCAUUUAAUUAUCAAUAUGUUUGAAUUUCUGUCUACAUUUUCUUUAUAGUUUUCUCAUAUAUUUCUUUCUCUGUUGCUUCUUCCUCCUGUAUUUUGUGUAAACUAUUUUUAUCAUAAUUUUAAUUGCCAUGAUAAUUUUUUAAAAUACUUCUUUUUACUUAAUGAUUGCUCAAAUAAUUACAAUAUGUAUUUUAAUUUGACACAAUCUACUUCCAAUUAAUUUCAAGAACUGUAGAAGUUUAUCCUACUUUCAAUAACAGAUUGCCUGUAACAGUCUAAUGGAUACAGACAGAAAACAUGUGACUUAUGGGAAACAUGAAAAGGACUUUAUCGUUCACAAAAUAUUGGAAGCCAAAUGAUUGGCAUUUUUAUGCCCUGGUUCCCUGAGACCUAAUUUCUACAAAGGCCAACUGGAAAGGGUCAAGAGGCACUUGCUCACACAAUGAGUUUCCUUACAGGAAAGAAACCCUGAGGUCACUUUACUUGGAUCUCAUAUGAGGACAGCAAGCUUGCCUAUGCUUUUCUCCAUUGGGAAGACAGUAUUUCUGUCUUCCAAGGCUAUUGACUAUACAUUCUUGAAAAUACAGUCCAGCACAAAGGCAAAAACUUCUCUGCUGACAAGGUAUAUGGUAAUGAGAGAGACCCAUGGGGAAUUUUAUCCCAACAAUUAAUGCCAGUUUAAUUCCAGUUAAAUAUACUAACAUUGCUCUAAUAUAAUUCCAUCUUUCUCUCUCUUUUGUGCUAUAAUUUUCAUUUAUAUUACAUAUAUAUAUAUGUAUGAAAACAUGAAAAACACGGUAUUAUUGCCAUGUAGAAUGAUGCAUAUUUUAAAGAAAUUGAAGAGGGAAAAGAGAGUCACAUUUUUAAAAUAAUUUACAUUUACCCACAUAAUUAUCAAUUCCAGUGUUCUUGAUUUCUUCUUGUCUAAUUAUGUUUACAUAAUUAUACAAGAAAAAAUCAAGAAGCUGAUUUCCUUUCAGCUUAACAGUUUCCUUUACCAUAUAUUGAAUGACAGGUGUACUAGCAAUGAUUUAUCACAGUUUUUGUUUAUCCAGUAAUGCCUUUAUUUCACCCUUUUUUUAGAAGAAUGGCAUAAAUAUAUACAUAUAUAUUCCAUAUAUAUAGUGUAUGUAUAUACUAUACAUAUGGUGUGUGUGUGUAUCCUUCAAUAUGUACAUGCAUAUUUCAGCAUUCUGAACACAGCUUUUUAGCUAUCAGUAGUUUUUGUGGGAACACAGAUACUAAUCUUAUUGUUAUCCUGUACAUGGCGAAUUGUUUUUCUGUCACUUUUUUCAAGAUUUUUUUCCUUUGUUUUGGCUUUCAACCGUUUGUCUAUUUUAUAUCUGAGAGUGAUCUCUUUGUUUCUAAACGUUUUGGUAUUAUUUUUUAAAAAUCAAAUUUGGGGAAUUGUGUGCCAUUAUUCUUUCUUUAUUUUCCUGCUUCUCUCUUUCCUCUGCUCCAGGGCCUCCUAAUACAUCUAUGUUGGUGUGCCUGAUGUUGUCCAAAAGGUGUCAGAGGUUCUGUCUUUUUUUCCUUUCUAUUCUUCAGAGUAUGUACUUUGUACUUCAGAGUAUGUACAUUUCACAGCAAAUGACCUGAGCUGCUGCAGUGACAAUGCCAGAUCCUCAAAACGUUGAUCCACAAGAGAAAUAGAUCUUCUGACCAUUUUUUUAAAUUUGGUGGUGUGUUUUUUGAUGUAAAGUUGCAUGAAGUGUUUGUAUAUUUCAGAGAUUAAUCUCUUGCCAGUCACUUCAUUUGCAAAUAUUUUCUCCAACUCUAUGAGUUGUCUUUUUGUUUUGUUUAUGGUUUCCUUUGCUGAGCAAAAACUUUUAAUUUAAUUAUGUCCUAUUUGUUUAUUUAUUUAUUUAUUUAUUUUAUAAAUUUUGAGAGUUUAUUUAAGCAAAUAUCAAUUUGAAUCAGUUUGGUGGUACCAAACCCCCAUUGCUUUAUUAUUAUUUUUUUUUAGAGACCUCUAUCACUUGGAUAUCUGUAGCAGAUUGGAAAGUAGUUCCAAAGUCCAGGCAGUUUUCAUGUCUUUUCACCAAAGCCCAUCUAGUCUUCCACAUGCAUGUGCAGAGCAUCCCAUUCAGUGGUAAUUGCUUGGAGAUCUGACAUGAUUUUGCAUUUCCACUUCAUAUAUACAUAGCUAUCCAAUAAGCCAGGAAUGUGGGAGAACUUGACUAACUCUUCUCUGGCUCUCUUAUUUCUAGGUUCAAUUUUGCUAAAAUUUUUGAUUGGCCAGUGGACUAACUCCAGUCUUGACUUCUACCUUAAACUAGUAGAGCUGCAGGCUUUCUGUAUUUGUUUCCAAUUGUGUUUGAUACUUUUAUUAGUAAUAUAAUUGAGGUUGGACUUUCCACUCUGAAACAAAGUCAGCUCUCUGGAACUGCCAUGGAAGCCUCUGGGUUUUAGUCAACAUGGCCCUGGUAGAACCACUAUGCUGAUUGAGAUAAUAGGAGGGGUGCAUGGGAGUAGCCCUAGAAAUAAUAGCACUGAUUCCAAACAUCACUACUUGAAAUUCAUCUGUACAUCACAAAAGAUGCUUCUUUUUGUAUUUGUUUGUUUUGACCAGUUCCUGGAACCUUGAAAUAAAUAUUUCUGACAACUUCUUUCAUGUAUAUGUUUUUUGGGGGGAGAAAACAAUUUUUUAUCUCUUUACUCCUCCUAAACCAUAAAUUAUCUUUCUG
RNAcentral lists this long non-coding RNA (3170 nucleotides) under Sus scrofa (pig). RNAcentral's name for it is "lncRNA (ENSSSCG00000059114.1)". The record is from RNAcentral. Lineage: Eukaryota; Metazoa; Chordata; Mammalia; Artiodactyla; Suidae.